UUCUAUCUUGGAUGCACAUCUCUGCCCGCAACCUUGCCCUCUACCUUCUACUGUGGGAUGAUGAUACAGCCCAUGGAAGAUGCAGGUCCCUCAGCCUUGAACUUUCCAACCUCUAGACCUGCAUUCCAGAAGGCCCAUCUCACAAGUGACUAGAUCUCAUCAAAUUGACAAUUGAGACAGCCACCAUAACUUUUCAUCCUGGUAUGUGUGACCUGAGGCAAGAUUCUUGACUUUGCUAGGCUUUAGCAACCUGAUCUAUGAAAUGAAGAUGAUAGGUCAUGAUGUCAUCCACUGAGUGAGAAGAUGCAAACAAACACAUCAGGGAGGGCCUAC
Long non-coding RNA from Mesocricetus auratus (golden hamster), 333 nucleotides. RefSeq lists it as uncharacterized. The record is from RefSeq and is a predicted model, not a curated record. The transcript has 3 exons. NCBI's taxonomy places the organism in Eukaryota, Metazoa, Chordata, Mammalia, Rodentia, Cricetidae.